Molecule: long non-coding RNA, 327 nt
Filed under: Homo sapiens (human)
Lineage: Eukaryota; Metazoa; Chordata; Mammalia; Primates; Hominidae
Description: HSALNT0383536
Source: RNAcentral
AACUGGAGAUGUAACGACUUCCUUUUUUGUCUUGGAAGAUUCCUAAAUGUCAUUGAGAGACCCAAGACGUCUCAAUCUCACUUAAUGCAAACGGAAAACCAAGGGUUUUUAAAGGUGAAAUGGAUCUUGCUAAUGAAGAAGUAUCACUCUUCGUGGGGCAUGCAGCUUGUUAGUUCAAGUUAGAAUUCUGGGCAGUAGGCGUGUGCCAAGCUGCAAGACUUUUUCUCCUCCUAAAUGAAUCGUGCAGUAAAUUGGGCAUUUGGAUCUUUCCCUUGUGAAGCUAUCUCACAAGUAAUACAUUCAUGGUAAGAAGGACUUUGAAGUCAG